This 73-nucleotide transfer RNA is filed under the name Pseudonocardia sp. MH-G8. RNAcentral's name for it is "tRNA-Thr". The record is from RNAcentral. Lineage: Bacteria; Bacillati; Actinomycetota; Actinomycetes; Pseudonocardiales; Pseudonocardiaceae.
GACGCUGUGGUCCGCGCUGGAGGGGGCACUCGUAAUGCGUAGGUCUGGGGUUCGACUCCCCAAGGCGGCUCCA